RNAcentral lists this ribosomal RNA (228 nucleotides) under Clostridioides difficile. RNAcentral describes it as "partial 23S ribosomal RNA". It matches the Rfam family "Bacterial large subunit ribosomal RNA", at positions 2497 to 2724 of the family's 2925-position model. The record is from RNAcentral. Lineage: Bacteria; Bacillati; Bacillota; Clostridia; Peptostreptococcales; Peptostreptococcaceae.
AGUCCACAUCGACGGGGAGGUUUGGCACCUCGAUGUCGGCUCAUCACAUCCUGGGGCUGUAGUAGGUCCCAAGGGUUGGGCUGUUCGCCCAUUAAAGUGGUACGCGAGCUGGGUUCAGAACGUCGUGGGACAGUUCGGUCCCUAUCCGUCGCAGGCGUAGGAAAUUUGAGAAGACCUGUCCUUAGUACGAGAGGACCGGGAUGGACGUACCUCUGGUGUACCAGUUGU